RNAcentral lists this ribosomal RNA (921 nucleotides) under Citrobacter sp. 2CMH3_Non diabetic. RNAcentral's name for it is "bacterial SSU rRNA". It matches the Rfam family "Bacterial small subunit ribosomal RNA", at positions 55 to 965 of the family's 1533-position model. Lineage: Bacteria; Pseudomonadati; Pseudomonadota; Gammaproteobacteria; Enterobacterales; Enterobacteriaceae. The record is from RNAcentral.
AUGCAAGUCGAACGGUAACAGGAAGCAGCUUGCUGCUUUGCUGACGAGUGGCGGACGGGUGAGUAAUGUCUGGGAAACUGCCCGGUGGAGGGGGAUAACUACUGGAAACGGUAGCUAAUACCGCAUAACGUCGCAAGACCAAAGAGGGGGACCUUCGGGCCUCUUGCCACCGGAUGUGCCCAGAUGGGAUUAGCUAGUUGGUGAGGUAACGGCUCACCAAGGCGACGAUCCCUAGCUGGUCUGAGAGGAUGACCAGCCACACUGGAACUGAGACACGGUCCAGACUCCUACGGGAGGCAGCAGUGGGGAAUAUUGCACAAUGGGCGCAAGCCUGAUGCAGCCAUGCCGCGUGUAUGAAGAAGGCCUUCGGGUUGUAAAGUACUUUCAGCGGGGAGGAAGGGGAUGUGGUUAAUAACCAUAUUCAUUGACGUUACCCGCAGAAGAAGCACCGGCUAACUCCGUGCCAGCAGCCGCGGUAAUACGGAGGGUGCAAGCGUUAAUCGGAAUUACUGGGCGUAAAGCGCACGCAGGCGGUCUGUCAAGUCGGAUGUGAAAUCCCCGGGCUCAACCUGGGAACUGCAUUCGAAACUGGCAGGCUUGAGUCUCGUAGAGGGGGGUAGAAUUCCAGGUGUAGCGGUGAAAUGCGUAGAGAUCUGGAGGAAUACCGGUGGCGAAGGCGGCCCCCUGGACGAAGACUGACGCUCAGGUGCGAAAGCGUGGGGAGCAAACAGGAUUAGAUACCCUGGUAGUCCACGCCGUAAACGAUGUCUAUUUGGAGGUUGUGCCCUUGAGGCGUGGCUUCCGGAGCUAACGCGUUAAAUAGACCGCCUGGGGAGUACGGCCGCAAGGUUAAAACUCAAAUGAAUUGACGGGGGCCCGCACAAGCGGUGGAGCAUGUGGUUUAAUUCGAUGCAACGCGAA